UACGUAGGGUGCGAGCGUUGUCCGGAAUUAUUGGGCGUAAAGCGCGCGUAGGCGGUUACUUAAGUCGGAUGUGAAAGCCCUCGGCUUAACUGAGGAAGUGCACCCGAAACUGAGUAGCUAGAGUACGAAAGAGGGUCGCGGAAUUCCCGGUGUAGAGGUGAAAUUCGUAGAUAUCAGGAGGAACACCGGUGGCGAAGGCGGGUCUCUGGGCCGUAACUGACGCUGAGGAGCGAAAGCGUGGGGAGCGAACAGG
Molecule: ribosomal RNA, 253 nt
Filed under: uncultured bacterium
Lineage: Bacteria
Description: partial 16S ribosomal RNA
Rfam family: Bacterial small subunit ribosomal RNA
Source: RNAcentral